UAAAUUCUAAUCUUUCAACUAACUUUAAGCAACCCAAAUCUAACUUUCAAUUUAAGAAACAAAUAACAUGUAUAAGUACUUUAUAAUCUAAUCUCUAUAUCUGUAUAAUAUCAUACCAAAUCAAGCAAGAAUCAUCGGCAAACAUUGAGACGAAGAGCAAAGGAACAAAAUCAGAAAAUGUAUGCCUAACUUCCUGACCAGCAGACAUUUUUGGCUAAAAACAGUAUAGCUCAGCUAAGAAUUUCAGGUUGGUCUCUUCAUCACAAUUGUAAAAGACAACCUAAAGAUCAAUCUGGAACUGGAAUCGCACAAAAAGGAAUUUUCUACAAUUACUAAUGAUUUUUUAAAGUUCAGUUAGAGUUCCAGUUUUUCUUUGAAAAUUUACUGAUAAUUACCCACCUUAAAGUUGAACAGAGGCUGAACUUGGACCUUUGAUUCUUUGUUCCCUUCAGCUCCUCCCUACCAUUUAGCCAUAUUAGAACUGUCUUAACAAGUCUUUCGAAGGAACCACCAUCGCCGACAACGGCAGAAGAAACUAGAAAACUCAAAACUUGACAAAACAAAGAACCACUCACCAAGCUGUGUAGAGCCUGCGUAUUCCCCUAUCCUUCCCUUAGGAAGCUGCCCAGGGAAGUAGAAAUUGCACCAAACAGUCCGGCCCCCAACCCCCUCCUCCGCUGCGCCAAGCCCAGCCUCCUCUACUGACAUCUCCAACCUCGAACCAAAUUGGAAGAAAUUGAACUAACCAACCCAGAAACCUAAUUAGAGAAAGGAGAAGAGUACAAACCUCAAACCAAAUUGGAAGAAAUCGAGUGAGGAGCCAAAUGGACGAACCCCCAAAUCGACGAACCUUAAUCGAGUGACAGUGGCUUAGUCUCGAUUGAGAGAGGAGUGAUUGAGUUUGAGAGAGAAAGAAAUUGAGAGGAGUGAUUGAGAAGAAAUUGAGGAGGGUGAGAGCGGUUGAGUUCGAGAGAGAAAGAGAGAAGAGAGAAAGGGCGAUAGGUGAGAACGGUGACAGCGGUUGAGUUCGAGAGAGAAAGAGAGAAGAGAGAAAGGGCGAUAGGUGAGAACGGUGAGUGUGUGUGUGUGUGUGUGUGUGUGUGUGUGUGUGUGUGUGAGCGAUNNN
RNAcentral lists this long non-coding RNA (1126 nucleotides) under Fragaria vesca (wild strawberry). RNAcentral's name for it is "long non-coding RNA (FVES_LNC000549)". Lineage: Eukaryota; Viridiplantae; Streptophyta; Magnoliopsida; Rosales; Rosaceae. The record is from RNAcentral.